UCCUAAUAGCCAGGGGGGGAAGAGGGGCUGGCUCUCAGUCCCUGCCUCGCGGGUGGUCCUUCACCCCGCUGCGAUGGGGGUCCUAAGAGCAAGGGGGGGAAGUGGGGCUGGCUCUCUGUCCCCGCCUCGCCGGGGGUGCCUCGCACCCUUGCGAUGGGGGUCCUAAGAGCCAGUAGGGGAAGAGGAGCUGGCUCUCAGUCACCACAGCAUGGGGGGCCUUUCUGUUCUGGUUUUGCCCAAGAGUAAGCUUAUUUGCAUCUGGUUCUAGCAAGGGAAUUGCUGCGAAGGCCCUCAAACAGGGGGGCCAUCCUUUCGAAUCCCUAUCUAGUUGUUUAGAGAUGUAGGCCACCGGCCUCAGCCAAGGCCCCACAGUUUGGGUUAAAAGUCCAGCUGCCAUCUUUUCUCUCUGACGCAUACAAUGGAAAAGGCUUUGUGAGAUCGGGUAGCCCCUCGGCUGGGGCUUUCAGAAGUUUUUCCUUUAAGUCAUGAAAGACUUGCUGUUGUUGGAAUCCCCAUUCCAAAAGUUCCCGGUCCCCGCCCCCAUUGUGACCUCAUACAAAGGCUUGGCUAAUACUGCAAAGUUUGGGAUUCCCAGUCUACAAAACCCCACAGCUCCUAGGAAUUCUCUCACCACCCUUGUGCCUUUAGGCUUCGGUAGAUUGCAAAUGACCUGCUUUCUUUCGGAUCCCGGGCUGCUUUCGGACACCUGUCGAAUAGUAAAUCCCAAGUAAGGUACCUGCGGUCGUCGGCAGAUCUGAAUUUUCUUCUUGGACACCUAAUACCCACAGUCCUCCAGAGACCGAGAGGUUGAUGUCACUCCCAAUAUCGGAGGAAGUAUACACCCCCGUGUGAGAUGGUCCUUAAUAAUAUUCCACGGCGGAGGGGGUGAUAUGACUACAUACAUGGCAGAAAGUGGAAACCUCCCAGGGAUAUUGUUCCCACGAUCCUGGAGGGAAGAAGAUGAUGUUACUUUCAAUAUGACAGAAGGUGGAUGAAGUGGUGGACUGCCCCUCCACACCUGUGGACACGCCCCCACUGAUAUUCCUUCUAAUUGCAGCGUGGGAGAGGAGGAUAUGACACGCGAUAUCGCAGGGAGUAGAAACACCCCUGUGAUACUGUUCUUAAUAUUCAGGGAGGAAGAGGAUGAUAUUACUCCCAAUACAGACGGGUGUACACCCUCUGUACACCGAGGGUGUACACCUGUCUGUGAAAGAGUUCGUAAUCUCCAGAGGGGGAGAUGAUAUUACUCACAAUAUGGUAAAGAGGCUGUGAGUCCACGGAGGAUCCUCAGAGCCAGCGGGGGAAGAGGGGCUGGCUCUCAGUCCCCGCCUCGCGGGGGUGACUCCCCCCAGUGCGAUGGGGGUCCUAAGAGCCAGUGGGGGAAGAGGGGCUGGCUCUGAGACCCCGCCUCGCGGGGGGUGCCUCCCCGCCCUGUGAUGGGGGUCCGAAGAGCCAGAAGGCUUAGAGGGGCUGGCUCUCAGUCCCCGCCUCGCGGGGGGUGCCUCCUCCCCCUGCGAUGGGGGUCGUAAGAGCCACUGGGGGAAUAGGGGCUUGCUCUCAGUCACCGCCUCGCGGGGGGUGCCUCCUUUCCUUUCUACAUAGACACAGUGACAGUCUGAUCUCUCUUUCUUUUCCCUACAGAUGGACACGCCCCCACUGAUAUUGUUUUUAAUGCAGCGUGGGAGGGGAGGAUAUGACACGCGAUAUCGCAGGUAGUAGAAACACCCCUUUGAUAGUGUUCUUAAUAUUCAGGGAGGAAGAAGAUGAUGUUACUCCCAAUACAGACGGAUGUACACCCUCUGUACACCGAGGGUGUACACCCGUCUGUGAAGGAGUUCGUAAUCUCCAGAGGUGGAGAUGAUAUUACUCACAAUAUGGUAAACAGGCUGUGAGUCCAUCGCGGAUCCUCAGAGCCAGGUGGGGAAGAGGGGCUGGCUGUCAGUCCCCUCCUCGCGGGGGGUGCCUCCCCCACUGCUAUGGGGAUCCCAAGAGCCAGUGGGGGAAGAGGUGCUGGCUCUCAGUCUCCGCCUCGCGAGGUGCCUCCCCACCCUGCGAUCGGGGUCCGAAGAGCCAGGGGGGAAGAGGGGCUGGCUCUCUUCGUGGAUGAUUCUUUUUCCAUUCUCAGGCAGUUUUCUUUUUUCUUUCUUUCUUUUUUUUUUUUUUUGAGACUGAGUCUUGCUCUGUUGCCCAUGCUUUGCUCGAUCUCGGGUGACUGCAACCACUGCCUCCCAGGUUCAAGAGAUUCUCCUGCCUCAGCCUCCUGAGUAGCUGGGACUAGAGGCGUGUGUCACCACACCCAGCUAAUUUUUGUAUUUUUAGUAGAGAUGGGGUUUCACCAUGUUUGCCAGGAUGGUCUCUAUCUCCUGCCCUUGUGAUCCACCCACCUCAGCCUCCCAAAGUGCUGGGAUUGCAGGUGCGAGCCACCGGGUCCAGCCUCUCAGGCGAUUUUCAUACCUGCAUACUCUGGUCACUACUCUGUUAAACAGUCAAGGAGGCUGAGUGCCACGUGCUGACGUCACUAAGAUCAAUACAGCAAACUCUGAAAGAUGGACAGAGAGACAGGAGAUGGUCCUUUAUAAUGCAGUGUGAUCUGUGCUGCAAUAGAGUUUUGGAAGCUAGAAGUUCAAAACGAGGUGUUGGCAGCACCAUGCUCUCUCUGAAGAUGCUAGGAAGAAUCUGCUCCAUGCCUUUCCAUUCGCUUCUGGGGUUUCCUGCAAGCCCUGACAUUCCUUGGCUUGUAGAUGCAUCACCCCAGUUUCCGCCCCCAUCAUCACAUGGCCUCCUCUCUGUGUGUGCCUCUGCGUUCCCUCUAUUCUUCUUCUAAGGACACCGACACCAGUCAUAGUGGAUUAAGUGUCCACUCCUAACCAAUUACAUCUGCAACAACC
This 2888-nucleotide long non-coding RNA is filed under the name Homo sapiens (human). RNAcentral's name for it is "non-protein coding lnc-FOXD4L6-1:3". The record is from RNAcentral. Lineage: Eukaryota; Metazoa; Chordata; Mammalia; Primates; Hominidae.